UACAGAGGUGGCAAGCGUUGUUCGGAAUUACUGGGCGUAAAGGGCGCGUAGGCGGCCAUUUAAGUCAGACGUGAAAUCCCCCGGCUCAACCUGGGAACUGCGUCUGAUACUGGGUGGCUUGAGUUCGGGAGAGGGAUGUGGAAUUCCAGGUGUAGCGGUGAAAUGCGUAGAUAUCUGGAGGAACACCGGUGGCGAAGGCGGCAUCCUGGGCCGAAACUGACGCUGAGGCGCGAAAGCUAGGGGAGCAAACGGG
Molecule: ribosomal RNA, 253 nt
Filed under: uncultured Acidobacteriota bacterium
Lineage: Bacteria; Pseudomonadati; Acidobacteriota
Description: uncultured Acidobacteria bacterium partial 16S ribosomal RNA
Rfam family: Bacterial small subunit ribosomal RNA
Source: RNAcentral